This 343-nucleotide long non-coding RNA is filed under the name Sorghum bicolor (sorghum). RNAcentral's name for it is "long non-coding RNA (SBIC_LNC011650)". The record is from RNAcentral. Lineage: Eukaryota; Viridiplantae; Streptophyta; Magnoliopsida; Poales; Poaceae.
GACGCGAGGCAAGAUAGACCUAUAGAGGCAAUCGCACAAUUAGAAAAAUCGAGUGUUGCUAGUAAACAAAACAUUUAUUUGAAUUUCUCUUACGGUUCUAUAAUGUUUAUAUUUAUUUUAUUUUUUGUUUAUAUUUAUUUUAAUUUUUAUUCAGACAAAUUAUUCGAUUGCGCACAACUCAUAAGUUCUGGUUGAUCUACUUUUAACUGCACUAGCAAAAACAAAGCAUGCAGCAGUAUAUGAGUUAAUAUAUUUAUAUCGUAUUAGGCCUUGUUUAGUUCACCCCGAAAUCCAAAAAGUUUCAAGAUUCUCUGUCACAUCGAAUCUUGCGGCACAUGCAUGA